Long non-coding RNA from Carassius gibelio (silver crucian carp), 588 nucleotides. RefSeq lists it as uncharacterized. Lineage: Eukaryota; Metazoa; Chordata; Actinopteri; Cypriniformes; Cyprinidae. The transcript is spliced from 3 exons. The record is from RefSeq and is a predicted model, not a curated record.
CUUCAUAGCAUUGUCUUCUACAUUCAACAACCUGCUUUCUGAAAAGUAAACGGUGACAGACACAGCACACAAACUCUGGACCACUACUAAUUUCUUGUCUAAAAUUACCAAUAGCAACAGCAAUGUCUUGUUGUUCCUUCUUUCUUGCAUACUUUUCACAACCUUUUUGUAUUGAAAGCACACGGAAGUUCACAUCUUUAUGAUAUUUCAUUACAGAAUACUCACACACUCUUCUUUUGAAGACUAGGUUUUGCAGAUAUUUUUUCUUUGAAUACUCACACACUCUUGCUUUGAAGGCCAGGUUUUGCAGAUAUUUUUUCUUUGAAUACUCACACACUCUUGCUUUGAAGGCCAGGUUUUGCAGAUAUUUUUUCUUUGAAUACUCACACACUCUUGCUUUGAAGGCCAGGUUUUGCAGAUAUUUUUUCUUUGAAUACUCACACACUCUUGCUUUGAAGGCCAGGUUUUGCAGAUAUUUUUUCUUUGAAUACUCACGCACUCUUGCUUUGAACGCCAGGUCUUGCAGAUAUUUUUUCUUUGAAUACUCACAUACAUUCGCCUGAAAAGAGACAUUAUAUUUAUAUUUCA